UCUCAUGGUGGGGCUUUUUGCCGGACUCAGUCACGAGUUCCCAGUCACGCCCAGCACAAUUGCCCCUAGGGGGUCAGAAUCCCCCAGAGCGCAGGCUGAAAAAAACCCAGGUAGAAAUUCCAUCAGACCCCCUGACGUGGAGCGGGGCCAAUUUUUGUUCCCAGUUACUCAGUGGAGAAUCGCACUGAAGUCAAUGGAAGUUGCAACCAACUUAGGCCCCGACUCUGCAUGCUACAGCUCAUGACUCGAGCCUGUUUGGAGUCAGCGUUGCUCUGCAUGGACGCUGGGGUCCGCCCACAUGAUGUCCUUGCAGGAUCGUGGCCCAACUGGAUACAGAACGGGGCCUCUCAGGCAGCCAUGGCCCUACAAACCCUGAAUUCCACCCUCUAAUAACAGGAUACAAACCCCACGUGCCGGGUUUGGCUGGUUGACUGUGGUAUAAAUGGUUUUCUCGCCCUUCCCCAUGGAUUCCAGGCCUUCCUUGCACAGCUUCUCAUCAUCCGUUUGCGGAGGCGACUGAAAUGAAAGAGACAGAGCUGUCACUAUUCCUGUCAGGAGACAAAAGCUCCGAGCACUUGGAGAUCCGGGGUGGAAUCCUGGUCCCGCUAGCGUCAAUGGGGCCGGGAGUUUGUGCGUCCCCAGCGUGUGAAAGCUUCCCUCUGGUUUGGCCCUGGAUGGAGGGACAGCUCCCAGCAGCCAGUCUCCGACCCCAGGUCCACAGACUCGGGGCUCACAGAGCUCAGGCUCCCAAGCUAAAAGAGCUGUGAAAACAUUGUGACUCGGGCUUGACCCUCUCCUCCCAGCUCCUGCCUGAGCCGUACCAUCCACACAGCUGUCUUCAGCACCACGGCCCAAGUCUGAUCCGCCAACCUGCUGCUCGCGGGGUAGACGUCCCUUGAAAGCAGGUGGCCGGCGCCUGAUUCACCACCGCCCUUGGCGCGGCCAUUUACACCAGCGUCGAACACUCCUGUCCUGAGCUGGUGGCCCUCUACGGUGCUCUCAAUCAGCACAGACGGGGCGGGGCAAUGGAGAAUAGGGCCCAGGGAAUCUGUCAGCCUGUGUGUGCAAAGGAGACUCACUGGCCUCACUUCUGUGUCUUGCUAUGGGCUGAUCUGGAGGCAUAAAGAGGGGCAGGGUAGCCUCCAGCCAAACCUCCCAGGUGCAGCGGGGUUUUCGUGGUGGUACAGGGUGUCCGUACAAUGCCUGUAGAGGCCCUCGCGCAGGGCCACGCCGGGGGUGGACUGGGAAAGAGUGCAACCGGGGGCUGGGGAACUGUGAGCUCGCACUAUCCUGGGCCCCUGGGGCUGCUCUAAGUUGUGCUGUGGGGGCUGGUCCUCUUCCCAGACCAGCUCUCAGAGCAUAAAGGGGAGAUAAAGUCUCUUUUCCCCUGUCUCUAUUUGCAUUGCCCUCUGCCACGCUCUGUCUCCCGCAGGGCUCAGCACAGAACUUGGUUCACUGUGUUUACGUGUUGAUUAUCAUCGCUACCUCCAGGUCUCAUUGGUGUCCAGAUCAUUGUCCAUAUUUUCCCUGAAAUCAGAGAGCAUCGAGCCAUGGGCCCGUUACGCUAGGGGUGGGUGGUUGUUAUUAGAGCCCGUAGCAUGCUAGGGGUCAGCGAUCACAGUGUUUAACUCUGCCAGCCAGGAGAAGAAAACCCAGGUCAAAUAAAUAUACAGGAAAGCAAGGUGUAGCACUCCUACCUGGUUUGGGUGAUGGACCUUGGAAUAGAUCGUUUUUGUCUCGUCCUCCUUGGUCUCCGGACCCCUUUUCUGCGUCCCCGUUCUACUGCAAACCUAAAUAGACAGAUCCCACCCCUUAGCAUGAGCUGGACACAGAUUUGCAGCAGCUGAGUGAAGUGGCUUUAAACAAUGCUUUGCAGAGUCAGGUCAGAGAGCAAUCGUCACAAGGGGCAAACAAGGCCAAAGCUGUGGUCAGAAUUAGAGCUCGGUGAAACUUUUUUGGCAAAUAGCGAAUUUGCCCAAAAUGCAUUUUUCGGCGCACUACAACUAUUUGCAAAUUGGGGGUCAAUUCAGCAACUAGUUUUGACCAAAAAGGGGGAGGGGGGGACUUCAAAGUCAAAAUAUUUUGUUUUAACUCUUCCAAUUCUGACAAAAUUCCUUUCUACCAUUUUGAAACAAGAGUUUGAUUAUUUUGUUUUGAAACCACAAUUCAUUUCAAAAUUUAGGGUUUUUUUUUAAAAAAGGGGUGGGGGCAAAAAACACCUGAAAUGACCCAAAAUUAACGCCGGGGGGGGGAGGGGGCGGGAUUGAAAAAAUUUCAUUUUGCAUCAAGUUAAACAUUUUUCUUCAGCAAAAAAACUCUGCAAAAACUGUUUCAGUUUGGACCGAAAUUUUUCUGGCAUUUUUUUUGGUUCAGGUCCUGAAUCGAACAAUUAUUUGCUCAUCUCUAGUCUUAAUUCUUAGCUGAAAGGCUCCCUGCCUGCAAGGGCUUCUGGAAUGGACACCGGGCAUGGGAUUCCACCCCGUCCCGUGUGGAGGCCCGGUUCUGCUGGGUCAGGGCCCUUUGCAGCUACAAAGGAUCGGACCGGCUGCUCCUUCUCUCUGCCGCUUUCAGCAUCGACCGAGCAUUAUUGCAUGCUCCAAAGGGACCUCAAAAAUUUUCUGGCUGCUUCCAACACCGCCUCCUCUUCCCCCAUCACAAAGUGACCCCAGUGUUUCUGCUAGCCCCACUUGUCCCUGGACUGGGGCCCCACAGUCCCAUACUCGUGGUAAAUCUAAGGCACUGGUACCAUCAACCCAUCCUGGCUUUUCUUCUGGCUAAGCCGACCCACUGCCUCGAAUUGGUAAUGGCUUCACCACGAGGGAGUUUUAGGUGAACUCACCUGUGGCGAAUUACCGACUUUGGCAUAAACUGUGUUUGUUUCUGCAUCGGCCUCUGCAAUGAAAAGAAUGUGAGAAGUAAGUGAAUGGAACAGACCCCACUGCCAGUGGAGACUGGGAACUGGGAGACACUGGACUCAUGGCAUAGGGCUGGGCAGUCCCCCUUGCUGUGCCCUCAUCCGUUCUGUAUGGUAACUUCAGACAGAUGGGGAGGACAUGCAUUCUCCUCUCGCCUGAGUGCUUAAGGGAAAUCUGUGUUAUUUCUGAUCCACGCUGCACAUGUUACUGGGCUCAUUGAACUGGAGUCAUUAAAGAUCCCUGGGCACUUCGUGAAUGACCAGAGGUGUUCACCUAGAACCAGGCCAAAUUCUAACUCUGGUAACUGUAGCAGGGUUGCUAUGCAGUAUUAAACAGCUGCCAUGUUCCCCCUCAGAGGUGGCUCCAUUACAAUGAUGGGUGACAAAAAUCUCCGUAAACUUUAUCAAUCAUUUUGCAAGGCACUUUGGGAUACCUAGGGAUGAAAAGUACUAAGUAACUGUUCAAAGAAUAAAAAACAGGUGACUAGUUGUCUGUGGAGCUUUUACUUUUAGUAAAAGAAAAGACUUUUAAAAUUAUUAAUCUAGUAGCCCUAAACAACAGCGGGGGGGGGGGGGGGGGGAGGGGUUAAAGAGGGGAAAAUACUUAUAUUUCUUCAAUUCUUCCCCCUGUUUUUGUUGAAAUUAAAAAUUCUUUAGAAGCUCGACACUUUUUUAGAAACUUGAAAAUUUGCAACCAGUUCUACACUUGCUUUGAAACAGGGAAAAAUGUAAACAAAAAACAAACAAAAAACCCCAUAAGAACAUAAGAAUGGCCAUACUGGGUAAGACUAAAGGUCCAUCCAGCCCAGUAUCCGGUCUACUGACAGUGGCCAAUGCCAGGUGCCCCAGAGGGAGUGAACCUAACAGGCAAUGAUCUAGUGAUCUCUCUCCUGCCAUCCAGCUCCACCCUCUGACAAACAGAGGCUUGGGACACCAUUCUUUACCCAUCCUGGCUAAUAGCCAUUAAUGGACUUAACCUCCAUGAAUUUAUCCAGCUCUCUUUUAAACCCUGUUAUAGUCCUAGCCUUCACACCCUCCUCAGGCGAGGAGUUCCACAGGUUGACUGUGCACUGAGUGAAGAAGAACUUCCUUUUAUUUUAAACCUACUACCCAUUCAUUUCAUUUGUUGGCCCCUAGUUCUUAUGUUAUGGGAACAAGUAAAUAACUUUUCCUUAUUCACUUUCUCCACACCACACAUGAUUUUAUAGACCUCUAUCAUAUCCCCCCUUAGUCUCCCCUUUUCCAAGCUGAAAAAUCCUAGCCUCUUUAAUCUCUCCUCAUAUGGGACCCGUUCCAAACCCCUCAUCAUUUUAGUUGCCCUUUUCUGAACCUUUUCUAAUGCCAGUAUAUCUUUUUUGAGAUGAGGGGACCCCAUCUGUACGCAGUAUUCAAGAUGACAGGUUUCAGAGUAGCAGCUGUGUUAGUCUGUAUCCGUAAAAAGAAAAGGAGUACUUGUGGCACCUUAGAGACUAACAGCUUUAUUAGAGCAUAAGCUUUCGUGAGCUACAGCUCACUUCAUCGGAUGCAGACAGUGGAAAAUACAGUGGGGAGAUUUUAUAUACACAGAGAACAUGAAACAACGGGUGUUACCAUACACACUGUAAUGAGAGUGACCAGGAAAGGUGAGCUAUUACCAGCAGGGGGGCGGGGGGGUAGUGAUAAUCUUUUUGUAGUGAUAAUCAAGGUGGGCCAUUUGCAGCAGUUUACGUUGGGGGGGGGGGGGAAGGAAGGGGAGGUUGAAAAUUCAAAAUUUGUGAAUUUUUUACAAUCAAGAUUUGAGAAAUUGCUCCCAGCGCUCUGAUACAAAAACUAUAAAACUUAAAACUAAACUUAAAACCACACAGCCUUAAAACUAAACCAAACUAGCAGAGGUAUCAGGGAUCUGCCAGAUCCCACCCACCGCUGCCAUAGGGGGCUUGCAUAUCCACGUUAAGACAUCUCCAACCAUAAAGAGCAGACCAGGUACUUCUCCAUGUAUGUAGCCUUUAUUUCAGAUUAAGGAAAAACAACAGAGAACAAAUAUGAAGUCUCCAUGGGAGAAAGAGGAAUAGAACACAGUGGCUCGUUUUGUAAAAUGUCCAGUCUGCACAGCCCCGGGACUAAUUCUCCUCUGGCCUGCAUGUUGUGUUGGUGAUGACAACUCAAUUUGGAGUUGUCAAUCAAAAGUCCAGGGAAUGGGAAGCAUUUGUCGAGUGGCGACAAUCCUGGCAUCUUUGCUCCUUCCGUUUGGUUUCUUAAAGAGACCUUUAUACUUUGCAGCUGUAGAGGUUAGUCUUUGACACAUAAUGGCCCCGAUUCAGGAAAUAACUUAGAAUAUCAGGGUGGGAAGGGACCUCAGGAGGUCAUCUAGUCCAAUCCCCUGCUCAAAGCAGGACCAAUCCCCAAUUUUUGCCCCAGAUCCCUAAAUGGCCCCCUCAAGGAUUGAACUCAAAACCCUAGGUUUAGCAGGUUAAUACUCAAACCACUGAGCUGUCCCUCCUCCCAUAGCUAGCUCUUGUCUAGAGGUUUUCAUCAGUCGACCUCAAAGUGCUUUACAAAGGCGGUCAUUAUCCCCAUUUUACAUACGGGGAAGUGAGGCAUGGAGCGGGCAACUGACUCCUCCAUGGUCACCCAUCAGGCUAGUGGAAGAGCCGGUACUAGAACCAUGAUCUUCUGAGUCCUAGUCAGGGCACUGUCCACUAGGUAAUACUGCCCGUCAAACCCAGCUUUAAGUCCCAUAAACUGCACUGGGGCUUAGGCAAGUGCUUCAGUGUUCUCCUGAAUACAGAUACUUUCCUAGCGUGGGACAGCUGCUUAUGAAGCAGCGCCGUUCCUCCUUAUAUUCCAUCUCUCCCAGCUUCGGCGUCAGUCUUUAAACUUGUCAGUGUCAUUCUUCUAUUUUCUUAGCUCUUGUGGGAUCUUUUGCUGUUGCCUUCAGCUGCAUUUGCACUAAAAUACUGUUCAAAGUUACAAGUCCCAUGCUUCCAAAUCUUCCUGUGUUUCAUUAAGCCGGAGCCUUUCCAUAUUCCUAUAAGUGUCCAUUCCACCUUUCUAUUUUUCUUCCCUUUAACCCAGAAAUCUCUCCCACGCUCCUUCACUUUCUCUGAGCUCCUUGUCAUUUUACCAUCCCCUCCUCACAGCCGCAUCUUUGUCCUUCCCGGAAUCGGAGAGUAAAAGCGGUAUUUUCAUGCCUGGGUGCCUUUUAUUCCAGAUUUAAAGAAAACAACAGACAAAGGAAGAACAAAUGUAAAGUUGCCAGGAGAGGGAGCGAGAGCCCAGUGUGUGUGAUUGGCCCUGCGACAUUCUGCAUCUGAGAAGAAACACAAAAUGGCACCUGCCUCACUGCUACCUACACCACAACCGUUCCCGUGGCUGGCCUGUGCAACCAAACCUGCCUAAUUUGCAGCACCAGGCUUUGGCCUCUGGCCUAAUCCUGCCUCCUGCACUAAGAUCUCUGGCUUUUGGCCACCUACAGUAUUUUCUAGGGUAGAUGGGGCUGCAUAAGUGUCCCUCCUCCUCCCCUACCAGCCACUCAGCUCGUAACCUUGCUCUCAUCUCCUCCACUGAGAGAGACCGAUGGAGCUGGGGGUGGAGCUGAGGGCUGGCGGUGUGAGGAGCAGCUGGCAAGGGGAUGGAGGGUCUGGGGGGGUCAAUGCCACAGACACAAACUGCGCAGCCGUUAGCCCCUCCUCCUCCCUGUUGCGCAUGGAGUUAAGGGCUUGGGGGGCGGGGGGCGCAGCACCAGAGGGUAUCCAGGCUAAGGGAGCUGGAUGGGAGUGUAGCUGAGGGGGGUCAGGGUGAGGUGCGGGGAUUGGAUGGGGAACCAGCCAGAGGGGGCAUAAUCUUACGGAAAUAAUGCACGUUAUAGUAACCCCCUGCGUUGUGUGAAGACGGUACAAUUUACACAGCAAACGGCUAAGGGAAAGGAGUGUUUGUAUCCGUUAACUUCCCCUCUACAUUCAACCUCAGCUGUUUGUUCCUACAUUUGUUGUGGUGGCUCCUGUGAUGCACCGUGCAGCUACAGCGAAGCUGGAGGAAUUAACCCGUUGGCUGGUUGGUGGUGUAUUUACCGAGUUAACUUUGCAGUUGGCCAGUGCCUGUGCUCUACGUCAGGCUCAGCUCAGCAGUCCCUGGGAACCACAGAGCAAUGAUGACAAGGACGAUGAUGACCACAGUAAUUGGAACGGCAAUUGCAGCCCUACGGGCAGAUGGUGGUACUUAAAAGGGAAGAUAAAUGAACUCAGUGACAGUGAAGAAAACGGCCAUGAGAUGUAACAGAAAAGCGCAUUCUUCCUCUACCCUAAAACAGGGAGCCCGUGUGGGCUGCAGUUCGGCAGUUUUCCAACCGUCUCCCAAGAACCACCAAUAGUUUGCAGAUUCCUUUCUUGCUGCUAGCCAAGCAGUCGGGGGAUGUUUGGGAGGCCAGGUCCUACCUCAGCAAUGAGUGUUGGAGUCUUUCCUGCAGAGGGACUUACCUACACAAAGGUCCUUUGCAGAGGCCGUUGUGGAGCUGUGACUGACGGGGUUCUGUGCUGUGCAGGUGACGGCCAGCUUCCUUAUCAUUUGUUCUGGAUACCACAUUCCGAGUACCUGUUGGGCCAUGGAGGUACAUCCCAACCUGUACGAGGACACACCAUUCAUGCAACUUGCCUUUGACAGGAAACAGCAGCUCACCCUGACCACAUGGGACUGACAAAUAUGGAAACCCACCGAGCCUAAUCUAGCUGGACAAGACAGGAAACGUCUCAUCCCCUGCGGGUUCAUUAACUGGAUGUGUCAGAGACCACAGCUUGUCUCCUCAGGACUAUGAAACAUUUUCUGCGCACAGCUAAGAAGCCUCACCAGAGGAAGAGCAAUAGAGAUGAGUGACGAUGGAGAGAUAAUCUGGGGAUUGGUGAUGAAAUCCAGAGCUCUGCCUCUACAUCCCUGGUCCAGCUGUUCAAACCAGGUACUGUGGUGGCUGUUUAGUGGAUGCUGUGUGACCUGACUUGAUGAAAUCUAUGCAGAGCCGAAUGGACACGUGUCCAAAUGACAAUCUGGUCCAUUGCUGGCAUCUAGAGGCCUAGGACUGAAUGAUACAUGGAGACUGGAUUCAUCUCUGACUCCUAGAUGUGGUCCCUCCAGGUCUGGGUCCAGGCAGAUGGGGAAGUUUGUGCUGCCAUGGUACACCUGCGGGUGGAGGACUUGUGUCUCCAGGGUUGUCAGUUUGGUGCCUUUCACCAGCAUGAAAUUCAUCAAGGAUUCAGCCCUGAAGUCCUCCAUUGGUCCAGACUCCCCCUUAUGCCAUCUGUCACGCAGUCCCUGGGCGAUGCUCUGGAACUGCGCCCUACGAAGCCAGUCAGGACUCUGGGGGAGCCUCCUCUCUGGGAGCAGCCUGUCUGCAGGGCAAAAAGCUCACACAGCUUCCACCUUCCUGGGGCUGACCUCGAAACAUUCAGCAUCCUCUGCCCCUCCAUGCGCUUCCCACAGUGAGUCCGCCCAGGCGGGGUCCUGGGGAAGCCAGAGGGUCCUGCACCCCAACUUCACAGUCAGACGUGACUCUCAGCCAGCCAGUAAAACAGAAGGUUUAUUAGACGACAGGAACAUGGUCUAAAACAGAGCUUGUAGAUACAGGAAACAGGACCCCUCAGUCAGGUCUGUCUUGCGGACGCCAGAGCCCCAUCUGGCCUCCCUCCAUUUCCCCAGCCAGCUCCCAACUGAAACUCUCCAGCCCCUCCUCUCCUUUGUCUCUUUCCCGGGCCAGGAGGCCACCUGAUCUCUUUGUUAUCCAACACCUUUAGUUGGCACCUUUGCAGAGGAGGGGCCCAGGCCAUCAGUUGCCAGGAGACAGGGUGUCGGCCAUUCUUUGUGCAGACACCAUCACACUGGCCCCCUAGGGCUCUGCCACAAUCACACACCCUUAUUCCACCACCUAGAUACUUAAGAACUGCAUAGGGGAAACUGAGGCACACACAGUAUUCAGAGAAAACAUUAAGAACAUUCCCACUUUGUCAUAUCGUCACUGGAAGAUUUGCUGAAAUUUUGGGGCUGGAUGCUACCUUCCCAAAAUUAGUCAGGGUGUUGUCAGCUGAUUUGAUAAUUAAGACAAUGGGCUGGGAUCCAAGAAAUCCACAUGAGGUUCCCAGCACUGUCAGAGGCUCAUAUGUGACCUUGGGCAAGUCACUGAAUCUGUCUCAGUUCCGCCAUCUGUAAAAAUGGGGAUAAUGAUCCUCCCUUUGGCCUGUCUAGUCUGUAAGAUCUUCAGGGCAGGGCCUGCCCAUUGCUCUGUGCAUGUGGAGGCCUAGCACAAGGGGGCCUGAUCUCUGCUGGGCUAGUGUAAUAAAUAUAAAUCUUCCAA
Molecule: long non-coding RNA, 9230 nt
Organism: Chelonia mydas (Green sea turtle)
Lineage: Eukaryota; Metazoa; Chordata; Testudines; Cheloniidae
Exons: 7
Source: RefSeq, a predicted model, not a curated record